Molecule: ribosomal RNA, 776 nt
Filed under: uncultured Neocallimastigales
Lineage: Eukaryota; Fungi; Neocallimastigomycota; Neocallimastigomycetes; Neocallimastigales
Description: partial large subunit ribosomal RNA
Rfam family: Eukaryotic large subunit ribosomal RNA
Source: RNAcentral
GAGAUGUGUGAUGACGCAUAUCAAAAGCGGAGGAAAAGAAACUAGCAAGGAUUCCCCUAGUAACGGCGAGUGAAGCGGGAAGAGCUCAAAUUUGAAAUCUUCAAGGGUUUCCCUUGACGAAUUGUAGUUUAAAGAAGUGUUUUCUGUUAGAGAGGUGGUAAAAGUUCUUUGGAAUAGGACAUCAUAGAGGGUGAGAAUCCCGUAUUUGAUCACUUUCUACUAACGUUGUGAUACACUUUCAAAGAGUCGGAUUGUUUGGGAAUGCAGUCCAAAAUGGGUGGUAAAUUUCAUCUAAAGCUAAAUAUUGGCGAGAGACCGAUAGCGAACAAGUACCGUGAGGGAAAGAUGAAAAGAACUUUGAAAAGAGAGUUAAACAGUACGUGAAAUUGUCAAAAGGGAAGCGUUUGACACCAGUGUUGUUUUUCCGAAAAUCAAUUACGAAUGUUUUGUUUUUGAGGAGUUAUGACUUCAUCGGCUUGCUUCCUUUCUUUACUGAAACUUUCUUAAUGCACUUUUCGGUUAACAAGUCAACAUCAAUUUCUUUUGUUGUAAAAGGGUACGAGGAAGGUGGCUUUCUUUUCGGAGAAAGUGUUUAUAGCCUUGUAGCCUCUGCAAUCGGAGAGAUUGAGGUCUGCAGCGUAGAUCCUUCGGGGUUAGAUACAGUUUGUGCUAAGUUAUAGCUUUUCAUAGACAACUUGUUGACUAUGUUAGUCUUGUAGCUUACUCGCUGAUGCUAUUUUACCUACGCUUAGGAUGUUGAACUCUAUCACACACAG